UCCGGAAGGCAAACGAAUGCUCUGGACAGGGCUGAGGGAGGCCACACUUGUAUUUCUUUGGCCUUGGUUCUGAAAAGAUAGCAAAGGAUCAUACCAAUGCUUCCCCUUCUAACUGUGAUGACUUAGCACAAGCACCAGGUACUACACUCAACCUUCUGUGCCCCAAGGACUUGAAGGACAGUUUUCAAACCAGCUUAAGAAGAGCUGGUGCCAGGGCAGUUGGAGAAUUUUGAGGACCUACCGAGGAGAGGGAAGUCUACUCCACCACCCAGCCAAAAUCACCUUACAAAACAGGAAAAACACCCAAAGCCUCCUAUAUUCAAGAAUUAAAAGAAACAGGAAAGACAUCUUUCCUACCUGAGCAAGGGGCCUUCUGGGAAAUAAGGGCAAAAGGGAAGACAAGGAAGACCAACAUUAUAAAAGUACUACAUGGAAGCCCAUUAUACUAUCCUGCAUCCCCAAUUCCUCUUCAACUCCUCUGAACUCACUGCGAUGACUAUUGCGGCUGCCUGCAAAAUUCUUUGCCGAGACCACUCUGAUCUUGUCCAAAUCUGAC
Long non-coding RNA from Thamnophis elegans (Western terrestrial garter snake), 556 nucleotides. RefSeq lists it as uncharacterized. The transcript is spliced from 2 exons. The record is from RefSeq and is a predicted model, not a curated record. Lineage: Eukaryota; Metazoa; Chordata; Lepidosauria; Squamata; Natricidae.